RNAcentral lists this ribosomal RNA (346 nucleotides) under uncultured bacterium. Its description in RNAcentral is "partial 16S ribosomal RNA". It matches the Rfam family "Bacterial small subunit ribosomal RNA", at positions 338 to 681 of the family's 1533-position model. The record is from RNAcentral.
CCUACGGGAGGCAGCAGUGAGGAAGAUUGGUCAAUGGGCGCGAGCCUGAACCAGCCAAGUAGCGUGAAGGAUGACUGCCCUACGGGUUGUAAACUUCUUUUAUAAAGGAAUAAAGUGAGGCACGUGUGCCUUUUUGUAUGUACUUUAUGAAUAAGGAUAGGCUAACUCCGUGCCAGCAGCCGCGGUAAUACGGAGGAUCCGAGCGUUAUCCGGAUGUAUUGGGGGUAAAGGGAGCGUAGAUGGGUUGGUAAGUCAGUUGUGAAAGUUUGCGGCUCAACCUUAAAAUUGCAAUUGAUACUGGCAGUCUUGAGUACAGUUGCGGUUGGCGGACUUCGUGGUGUAGCUG